UUAGCUGGUAGAAGUGGUGUGCGGAAGAAACUGAUCAGUGGCUGGAGAGAGAGUGAGCUGGGCUAUGGAGUCAAGGGAAGUGAUGAGGGCAGUGAAAUGAGAGCAUCACACAGGAAGAUAGUAAGCUUUCCUAAAGAGGUGUGUUUUCAGGUACUUUUUAAAAGACUGGGGGCUAGGGGAGAACUUGAUGGCACAGGGUAGCAAGGGAUGUCCUUGAAAAAUCUUGCAGAUGGGAAUUUGCAAUUCGGGAACAAGCUGAUGUAAUGAGAAGGUCAUUUGCAGAGCAAAGGGAGUGAAAAAGGUAAUAUUUGUUGAGUAAACAAAAAUAAAAUUAAAAGCAGAAGCAGCUGCCUAGAGGCCAGUAUAAAUAAGGAACAGUAUGAGCCGAGAAGCCAGUAUAAGUAAGAUACCCAGGCUCUUG
This is a non-coding RNA of Pelobates cultripes (western spadefoot toad), 421 nucleotides long. Lineage: Eukaryota; Metazoa; Chordata; Amphibia; Anura; Pelobatidae. The record is from the annotation of a GenBank genome assembly.